Stomoxys calcitrans (stable fly) is the source of this 856-nucleotide long non-coding RNA. RefSeq lists it as uncharacterized. The transcript is spliced from 2 exons. NCBI's taxonomy places the organism in Eukaryota, Metazoa, Arthropoda, Insecta, Diptera, Muscidae. The record is from RefSeq and is a predicted model, not a curated record.
CGAUUCUCUUAUUAACACGCAGCCGUCAGGGAGUAUACAACAAAGACUAUGGGAUUUCUAAACACCCUCACAGUUAAGGAAUCAAAAGAGGAAUUGUUUAAAAUGCUGCAUUCGGCAACCACCCUGGACAUGGCGGGGUGUUCAAACAGCUCUUCCAGACCCCUCCAGCAACCAUAAGAGAAUAGGGGCUGGAAAUUAAUUGUAGUUUUGGGGCCGCCCGAAGGCGUAAAGUUUCUUUGCAUGUGGAAUAUUUCGAGGUGUUAUAAACGGAAUGACUAGAUAAGUAUACCCCCAUCCUAUGUUGGUGGGUAUAAAAAAGGUUGCCAAACAAUUCAUUAUAAAGAGUUUAGUUUGUGUGAGAAUUUCAACUUGCGAUGUAAAAACAAUUACAGAGAAGUAUUCAUUAUUGAGAAGUUCGUUAUAGAGAGGUUAAAUAGGUGAAAAUUUUUAUUCGUUAUAGAGAAGCUCGAGUGUAAAUAAAUCUAACCUAAAUUAAAUUCUCAUAUCUGGAACACGUCAUGGGAAAUAACAAAUUCCUAAUUUUGCAAGAAAUUCUCAAGGGAAAAGUUGAUGCAAGACAUGGUAGUGGCAAAAAUGAGACGUCAUGGCUGAAAAAUAUCCAGGAUUGGAACGGCUAUAUCAAUGACCGCACCCUCCUUUGUGCCGCUAAAAAUUUAGAACUGAUAAUUAUCGCCUAACAAAUUAUUAAAAGUUCAAAUUCAAUAUCUACAUACAUACAUUACUUUUAACAUUUUCAUAUAUGUACAUAGGUACAAAAAUUGUUCUAUUACUAAUAUCCGAAUCAGAUGAGUGAAUAAAGAUUAAUCGCAACAUGCCACUAUGCACGUACACCUAA